GUCCACGCCGUAAACGAUGUCUACUAGCCGUUGGGAGACUUGAUUUCUUAGUGGCGCAGCUAACGCAAUAAGUAGACCGCCUGGGGAGUACGGCCGCAAGGUUAAAACUCAAAUGAAUUGACGGGGGCCCGCACAAGCGGUGUAGCAUGUGGUUUAAUUCGAUGCAACGCGAAGAACCUUACCAGGUCUUGACAUCCAGAGAACUUUCCAGAGAUUGAUUGGUGCCUUCGGGAGCUCUGAGACAGGUGCUGCAUGGCUGUCGU
RNAcentral lists this ribosomal RNA (263 nucleotides) under uncultured bacterium. RNAcentral's name for it is "partial 16S ribosomal RNA". It matches the Rfam family "Bacterial small subunit ribosomal RNA", at positions 793 to 1055 of the family's 1533-position model. The record is from RNAcentral.